GACGAACGCUGGCGGCGUGCUUAACACAUGCAAGUCGAACGGAAAGGCCCUGCUUUUGUGGGGUGCUCGAGUGGCGAACGGGUGAGUAACACGUGAGUAACCUGCCCUUGACUUUGGGAUAACUUCAGGAGACUGGGGCUAAUACCGGAUAUGAGCUCCUGCUCCAUGGUGGGGUUUGGAAAGAUUCGGCGGUUGGGGAUGGACUCGCGGCUUAUCAGCUUGUUGGUGGGGUAGUGGCUUACCAAGGCUUUGACGGGUAGCCGGCCUGGGAGGGUGACCGGCGACAUUGGGACUGCGAGACGGACCAGAAGGCUACGGGAGGCAGCAGGGGGGAAUAUUGCACAAUGGGGGGAAGCCUGAGGCAGCAAGGCCGCGUGCGGGAUGACGGCUUUCGGGGUGUAAACCGAUUUCGCCGGUGACGAAGAGUGAGUGACGGUAAUGGGUAAAGAAGCACCGGCUAACUACGUG
Molecule: ribosomal RNA, 468 nt
Filed under: uncultured bacterium
Lineage: Bacteria
Description: partial 16S ribosomal RNA
Rfam family: Bacterial small subunit ribosomal RNA
Source: RNAcentral